RNAcentral lists this ribosomal RNA (145 nucleotides) under uncultured eukaryote. RNAcentral describes it as "partial 18S ribosomal RNA". It matches the Rfam family "Eukaryotic small subunit ribosomal RNA", at positions 1299 to 1458 of the family's 1831-position model. The record is from RNAcentral.
UGGUGGAGCGAUUUGUCUGGUUAAUUCCGAUAACGAACGAGACUCUAGCCUGCUAAAUAGACGGGCGAUCCCGCUGUGGGUCGACCCGAUUUGCUUCUUAGAGGGACAAGUGGCAUUCCUAGCCACGCGAAAUUGAGCAAUAACA